This is an RNA transcript of Andrographis paniculata, 7992 nucleotides long. It is a transcript of the gene named mediator of RNA polymerase II transcription subunit 12-like, with no coding region annotated. The record is from RefSeq and is a predicted model, not a curated record. NCBI's taxonomy places the organism in Eukaryota, Viridiplantae, Streptophyta, Magnoliopsida, Lamiales, Acanthaceae. The transcript is spliced from 13 exons.
UUGCGUUUUUAAGUUACUACUGGUUAGUAGCUAACUUUACAUUUCCAAUUUUGGAUGGUUUAUGAAUGAUGUUCGUGGGUUUGACUUUGGGAUGGGACAUUUUAGAUGAUGUAUUGGUUGUGGUUGAUGCAAUCCAUUUAAUUAGUUACAUGUGGCCGUCAGGACGUGUGCGCCGACUCCCUGCGCUGAUUGGAAGUAAUCGUUAGUGGAUUCUGCAUGUCUUGUUAAAUUUUGAACUCAGAUUUUGUGAAUUUUUUUAAUUAUAUUCUAAUAAAAUCUGAAUCCUGUGGGGAUAGAUAAAUUUCUACAGAUUUAAUACAGUAGCAAUAUGGAGCUAAGUGAGCUGCUAAUGGCAAUUAAUGGUCGAUUCAUGGUGCUGCAUUAAUAGUCGGAUAACAUGUCUAGCUUGAGUACUGGUUGGGUUGGGUUGUGAUAGCCUUAGAUUCUGUUAUGCAGAUGGCCCUUGAAAUAGUGGGAUCAGGUGGUGUUGUUCUGCCGAAUUGAGCCUUAAUUCUAUCUAUGUUAAUUUGGCAUGUUGAUGCUAGUAGUUUUGAUGCACGGGCUCCCGGGAAUAACUAAAGUUGAUAUACUUUGUCGUUUGUAGAUGAUUAAUUGACACGUGUUUGUGUUGGGAAAUUCCAACUGCUUUUCUUAUCUCCUUGAUGUUAUGUCUGGCUGUACUGUUGCUACUUGUUAAUGGAUUUCGGUAAUUGUGUGAAGAAACUACCAGGUGUAUCAUAUGUUUUGUGCUGCCUGAUGCUGGUGGCAGCAUGCGGAUGAUUGUUGGAAGAGAUGCAAAGGUAUCACACGAGCAACUGCUCUACUGCAGUCAAUAGCAGUGGAAUUGGUGGGAUACAAGCAAGGGAUACAUCCCGUUCUGAGUUGCCUGUAGUUUCACCUAAUUUUUCAGUGAAUCCGAGGAGAUCAGUACAAGUAACACCAUACAGAUUGAGGUGUGACAGGGAACCACUAAAUCCCCGGCUUGGACCACCGGAUUUCCACCCCCAGACGUCAAAUUGUCCUGAAGAGACACUUACGAAGGAGUAUGUGCAAGUGGGUUAUAGAGAAACUGUUGAGGGACUUGAGGAAGCUAGAGAACUUUUGUUCUCGCAGGUUGAGGCUUUUGCAAAGCCUGUCAUUGUAAAGUGCAAAGAGUCGAUCAGAAAAUAUCAUAGAGCAAUAAAUGAGUCUCGUGCUCAAAAAAGAAAGGCCGGCCAAGUUUAUGGGAUCCCACUAUUGGGUACACUUUUGACCAAGUCUGGAAUAUUUCCAGAGCUUAGACCAUGUGGAGAAGACAUCCGGAAGAAAUGGAUUGAGGGUUUGUCUCAACCUCAUAAACGAUUGCAAUCAUUGGCCAAUCAUAUUCCUCAUGGCUAUAGGAAGAAGUGUCUGUUUGAAGUUCUAAUUAAAAAUAAUGUUCCAUUAUUGAGAGCGACAUGGUAUAUCAAAGUAACUUAUCUUAAUCAGGUUCGACCUGUAUCUUUGAAUUCUUCUUCUGCUUUUCAUGAAAGAAGUUAUCUGUUACGGUCAGAACUGUGGACAAAGGAUAUUAUUGAGUACUUGCAGUAUCUGCUGGAUGAAUUUAUGACAGGGAACAUCUCUCGAUCUACUUUGCACAUUCAAGAUCGGUCCUCACCGAUUGUUUAUGGCAGUUCUGCUCAACAAAAAGGUAAUUCAUUUUCAGCUGUAAUGGAUAGUGAGGAGCCUUCCCUUGACAAAAAAUGGUGGUACAUGGUGAGGAUUAUUCACUGGCACCAUGCAGAAGGAAUUCUUGUUCCUUCGUUGAUUAUUGAUUGGGUUCUUAAUCAACUCCAGGGAAAAGAAGUACUUGGCAUUGUGCAGUUGCUGCUACCAGUCUUGUAUGGUAUUAUAGAAGCAGUUGUUUUAUCUCAAACCUAUAUGCAUACUCUUGCUGGAAUAGCCAUUCGCUUAAUUCGAGAGCCUUCUCCAGGUGGAUCUGAUCUUAUUGAUAAAUCUAGACAUGCAUAUGAUUCUUCUGCUGUUGUUGAGAUGCUUCGAUAUUUAGUACUUGCUGCACCAGAUGCUUUUGUUGGUUUUGAUUGUUUUCCAUUGCCGAAGUAUGUGGUAAGCCGUCUGGUAAAUGAUGGAAGCUUCAUUCAGAAAAUGCCUGGGGAUGCUAGUAUGGUGAAGGAUGGUCACAUCAAGUCUUCCAGCAAUAAAUUUCAUGGGUUUCAAAAAAAGUCCUUAUCCUUUACCAGUGUUGUAUCAUCCAUUCAAAAACGAGCCGAAACUCUUUCAAGAGCAGCCAGACCUAACCAUCCAAGUUAUAAUGUAGCUAAAGCUUUGCAGGUGUUGGACCAGUCUCUCAAUGAUGGAGAUAUUGAAGUUGCCUACAAGUUACUCUUUGAAAAUCUUUGGAAUGGACCAAGUGCUGAACGUUGGAUUGCAGAAGUAAGCCCUUCUUUACAGAUGUCACUCAAGCAUAUCAGCUCGGUGACAUCAUCAUUACUUUGCUCCAUCUUUUUUUUAUGUGAAUGGGCAACUUGUGAAUAUAGGAAUUUCCGUAAUGGACCUCCUCAUGGUCUGAAGUUCACUGGUAGGAGAGAUCUGUCACCGAUAUUCAUUACACUCCGGCUUUUAAAGAAGAAGAUGAGUAACAUGCCAGAAAUCUCAAGAAGACAAAAGAGUAAAAGUAUUUCAGAUAUAUUUGUGAGCCCUGGUCCUAUGCAUGAUAUUAUUCUCUGUUGGGUUGAUCAGCAUGAAGUACACAAUAAAGAAGGUUUCAAGCGCUUGCAGUUUCUAAUUAGACAAUUAAUUCGGUCGGGUGUUUUUAAUCCUCUGGCAUAUGUCAGACAGCUUAUUGUAAGUGGAGACAUGGGCGGGAAUGGGCCUAUGUUUGACCCAGAAAGGCAGAAAAGGCAUCAGAAGCUCUUAAGGGAGUUGCCUGCUUCUAAUAUUCGUGAUGCUCUGGAAGAAAUCUAUAGUGCUGCUGAGCCAUCAGAUCUUGUAGACGCAAUGAUUGUUUACUCAAAUGAGCGGAGACUGGUACUUUAUGGGAUUCCAGAGAACAAAAAAUCAGAUCCUAUUGCAGAUGGUUCAACUAAGAAAAAAAAGCGUCAAUCUUAUAGAAGUGGAGCUGUUUGUCAAUCUUCUUCACAACAGUGGCACUGUCAAGAUAUAUGUUCAGCAACAAAAAUUGAAACUGAUGCAAAACUAGAGGAUUUGAAGGUUUCAAUUUCUGCACUAUUGCAACUCCCAAUUUCACUAAUUAAUGUUGAAAUUGAUGAAUCACAGAGGAGCAAUAGAAAGCCUGUCACAUCUAUUAAUGGGAUAGAUAGUGAAGAAGUGCAUGGCUGUGAAGAGUGCCGAAGGGCAAAGAAAAUGAGAUUGAGUGAAGAAAUGGGCUCAUCAUUUCUCCAUUCAUUUCCAGAAGAGGAAGAAAUCUGGUGGUUUAGAAAGGGAAUGAACAAUACAGAAUCUUUCAAAGCUGAACCACCUUCCAAGCCUACCAAGCAGUUAUCAUCUAGGGGUAAGCAAAAAUCCGUCCGUAAAACUCAGACUCUUGCAAAAUUAUCUGAUGCUCGAAUUGAAGGAAGUCAGGGAGCAUCAGCGAGCCAUGUAUGUGACAAUAGGAUGGGAUGCCCUCACCACAGGAGUAGUGUUGAUGAGAUCUCAAAGCAUGUGGAUGGGACUCGAAAAUCACCAUCUACAGAUAUUCUUUCAAUUGAAGAACUUUUGAAAAAGGUGCCAUCUAUCAAGAAGGAAAAUGUGGCCUCAUGGUUGAUGUCUGUUGUGAAACAGCUUAUUGAAGAGGCUGAGAAGUUCACAACCAAGGCUGGGCUAUAUGGUCGGCCACCAAUCCCUAUUGAUGAUCAAAUCUCUGUGAGAUGGAGGAUUAGUGACGAUGAACUAUCAUCUAUAUUGUAUAUAAUGGAUCUUUGUGGUGAAUUAGUUUCAGCAACAAGGUUUCUUCUUUGGCUUUUUCCCAAACUUCCAAGGCAUCCUGUUUCAAGUAUCCCCAGCAGGAACUCUCUGGUGUUUCCUAGGCCUGGUGAGAAGCAUACCUGUGACGUAACCGAGGCCUUUCUUUUAUCAUGUAUCCGCAGGUAUGAAAAUAUUAUUGUUGCUGCUGAUCUUAUUCCUGAAACCUUGACUGCCACAAUGCGCCACACUGCAGCAGUCUUGGCAUCUAAUGGCCGGAUUUCUGGGUCACCAUCCUUAAUUUAUUCAUGUUAUCUCCUGAGAAAGUAUGGCAGCAUUGCUAGUGUUCUUGAAUGGGAGAAGUCUUUUAACUCUUCGUGUGAUAAGAGACUUAGUUCUGAACUUGAAGUUGGAAGAUCUUUAGAUGGGGGCUUUACACUUGGUGUCCCAGAUGGAGAAGAUCCUGAUGAUCAUUUUCGUCGAAUGGUUACUGGUUUACGAGUAUCUAGAGUUGGGUCAAGCAUGAAGGAAGUAGUACGGAGAUGUAUGGAUGAAGUAGUCCAACACUUCCAUAGUAAAGACCGAAAGCAUUUGAGUCCUGGGACAAAUAAAAUUCGUAGCGUGGAGAGGUGGGAUGAUGGCUGUCAAACAGCUCAAAAAAUAGUGAUGGGAUUGAUGGAUUGCAUGAAACAUACAGGCGGUGCUGCUCAGGAAGGCGAUCCAUCAUUAGUGGCUCAUGCUAUAGGUGCAAUUGUUAACAGUGUUGGUCAGGUUGUUGCUAGAAUUCCUGAUCUAUCUGUCAGCACUAGCCACUCAAAUGCUCCUCCAUCUGGCUCAUUACUUUUUGCUCGGCACAUGCUACGCAUUCAUAUCACUUGCCUAUGCAUACUGAAGGAAGCCCUUGGCGAACGCCAUAGCCGUGUCUUUGAGAUUUCCCUUGCAACAGAAUCUUCUUCUGCUCUCAGUUUUAUCCUUGGGAAGGCUCCUCGAAGUCAAUAUCAUAUGUCGCCUGAUUCCCAUGACUUUAAUUCAAACUUAUCCAACGAAGCUUUGAACCAUUCUGGUAAAGUAGGCCAAGGGACAGCCACAAGAAUUUCGGCUUCUAUUUAUGCACUUCUUGUUGGGGCAAUACUCCAUGGAGUUUCUAGCCUGGAGAGAAUGGUGAUACUCUUUAAAUUAAAUGAAGGGAUUGAUCUAAUUCAGUUUACAAGAAAUAUGAAAUCCAAUGUGAAUGGAAAUGCCCGACCAAUGGGGUUUUUAAAGGUGGAUAAUUUGAUAGAAAUUUCUGCUAGCUUGUUCAGGGUUCUUGUAGGGAAUUGUCGAACUGUUUCAGAUGGUUUUAUAGUGGAUCUUCUUGGUGAAGCUUCAAUUUUAGCAUUAUCCAGAAAGCAGCGGAUACUACCUUUAGAUUUGGUGUUUCCACCUGCCUAUUCCAUAUUUUCUUUUGUAGUAUGGAGACCCGUUCUGGAUGCACUCCUUGGAGCACGUGAUGAUUUGCAGCACUUGUAUCAAAUAUUGGGAAUUGCCAUGGAUGAUGCCAUAAAGCACCUGCCUUUUCGUGAGAUUUGUCUGCGAGAUACACGCAGCUUAUAUAAUCUCAUCUCUGCCGAUUCGUUGGAUUCUGAGUUUGUAUCAUUGUUAGAAUCCAGUAGCCUGGAUAUCAAUGUGAAAGCUGCUGCACUGGUUCCUCUUCGUUCGAGACUUUUGUUGGAUGCGCUCAUGGAUUGCAAAAUUCCACAAUCUAUAAUUAAGGUGGAUGACAAGAAUAGGUUCUCUGGGCAAGGCGAAUUGAAAAAACAAUAUGGAGAAAACGUUAAAAAGCUUAUGGGAAAAGUUGUGCAUGUUUUGGAUACACUGCAACCAGCACGAUUUCAUUUGCAAUGGGUUGAGCUGAGGCUGCUUCUAAAUGAACAGGCUGUCAACGAAAAGAUAGAGAAUGAUAUCUCCCUGAUUGAGGCUGUAAGAUCUCUUUCACCUUCCUCUGAAAGAAGUACUUCAGAGACGGAGAGCAACUUUGUGCAAAUUAUUCUGACCAGGUUAUUGGUCAGGCCCGAUGCAGCACCUUUGUUUUCUGAGGUGGUUCAUCUCAUGGGGAAAUCAGUUGAAGAUUCUUUGUUGUCGCAAGCAAAAUGGUUGCUGAGAGGUGCUGAAGUUCUCUAUGGCAAGAAAUCAAUCAGGCAGAAGAUUGUGAAUAUUGCUGCCGAACUUAAAGAACCAUGCUCAAAGCCCCGGCACUCAAAACCAUGGGGAUGGUGUCAUUCUGAUAUUAAUAGAGUGACUAGCAAGAGAGAGAAACUAAAAUCUGCAAACACUGCCCUCGAAGAGGGAGAAGUUGUUGAUGAAGGGAUUGGGUUCAAGCAUUCUGGAAAAGGAUCUGGUGUUUCAGAUGUCGAAGGCUUCAUUGUCAGCCAGCAGCGUUUGACUGAACGAGCUCUUGUUGCCCUAAUCCUUCCGUGCCUGGAUCGAGGUUCUAAUGACUUGCGCUAUAAUUUUGCGAAUGAGAUGUUCAAGCAGAUAAGCAAUAUUGAACAACAAAUUAAUGUAGUUAUUCAAGGAGUUAGCAAGCAACCAGUUGCUCCUGGUCUGACUUUUGGAAGUCCAACAAGUAAAAGUGGCAAUAGGAAAAGUGUGAAAAGUGGUAGCCCUGGAAUAUCCAGACAAUCAGUUGGAACAGCUGAUGCCAUUCCACCUUCACCUGCUGCAUUGCGCGCCUCCUUGACUUUGCGACUGCAGUUCUUAAUCAGAUUGCUACCUGUUAUUUGUACGGACAGGGAGCCUUCGGGUCGAAAGUUGAGAUAUGCACUUUCAACAGUGAUUUUGCGCCUCCUUGGAAGCAGGGUCGUGUAUGAGGAUGCUGGUCAUAUUGUCAAUCCUGCAUUGGUUUUGUCAAAGAGGAAUGCAGAGUCUCCAUUGGAGACUUCCACUGCUGCUGAACUGUGCGAGGAAACCAUAUUUGAUCAUCUAUUGUUAGUUUUCUAUAUGUUGCUGAGCUCUCACCAGCCGAGCUGGUUGAAACCAAAGUCUGAAGCAAAGACCACUGAAGUCAGCAAGGACUCCACUGCUUUCGAACGUGAAGCUGCUGAAAACCUGCAGAAUGACUUGGAUCGGAUGGAAAUCCCAGAAACAGUCAGAUGGCGUAUCCAAACUGCAAUGCCGAUUCUUUCUUCAUCUUUACAGUGUUCCAUCUCUUGCCAGCCUCCUGGAGUGCCACCUACUGCUGUCUCCUGUCUCCAUCCGAGCAAUCCUGUGGUCACAUUCAACUCCAGCAACCCAAUUCCAUUUCAGCGGACCCACCAAUCAUUACCCAGUCGAACUUCAAAAACCAAGCCACGGGGAGGUUCACAGCAGGCCCACCUCGAUGCAUCUGAGACUAUUGAUCAAUGGACACUUCUGGAAGAUGGGACUGGAUCAAGCCAGCCAUCUGUAAAAUCUACCAGCCCUGCUGGUAACAGUGGCGAUCAUCAUUCGAAUCCAAAGGCAUCUAGCUGGCUUAAGGGAGCUGUGAGAAUAAGAAGAACCGAACUGACAUACAUUGGAGCAGUAGAUGAGGACAGCUGACUCACAUGGCUGAACAGAACAGUAAACUUCAUUUUCUCCAUUUCUGUGAAAGUAGCACUGUCAUCCUCCGGCAGGGAGAGUGGCUAUAUUUACCGGCAGACAGAUGCUGUUACCCGUGGUCGAGACAUGGGCUAUCCAUGGUUUGUGAAGAUACAAAUUGCUUUUAUCUAUGGUGCUAAAUUGAGGUAAGAUUGAUUGUAUUUAUUUGUAUAUUAGGUUUUUGAAGGACAGACAGAUAGAUACGUACAUAUAUUGUCUUGAUCGUCUUGCAGAUAAAAGGUGUGGUCAUUAUUAUCAUAAUCUUAUGGGAAGUGUUUGAUUGGGGAUGAAAAUAGUGUAGGAAAUAUGCUAAUAAUCAAGUCAUAUUAGGUAAGCUCUGUGUGAUUCGAUUUAGAAGACUUAUGUAGAGUUUGAAUUAGUGGUCUUGUGAUCACAAGUUAGAGCGAGCGAGCGAGCUCGACCAUAACCAUUACCGACCCGGCCGGACUCGAGAUUGUAUAUAAAAUCAAGUGUUUGUUUUUUAGUUCAAAAAAACAAAAAAAUACUAUAUAG